This 633-nucleotide ribosomal RNA is filed under the name uncultured bacterium. RNAcentral describes it as "bacterial SSU rRNA". It matches the Rfam family "Bacterial small subunit ribosomal RNA", at positions 8 to 611 of the family's 1533-position model. The record is from RNAcentral.
AGAGUUUGAUCCUGGCUCAGAACGAACGCUGGCGGCGUGCCUGAGACAUGCAAGUCGUGGGAGAAUGUCGUAGCAAUACGGCUAGUAAACCGGCGCACGGGUGAGUAACACGUGGACAACCUGCCUUGAAGCCCGGGAUAACCCGUCGAAAGACGAGCUAAUACCGGAUAAGACCACGGGGAGUUCGCUUCCUGAGGGAAAAGAUGGCCUCUGCUCUUGCAAGCUAUUACUUCUAGAGGGGUUCGCGGCCUAUCAGCUAGUUGGUGAGGUAACGGCCCACCAAGGCUAAGACGGGUAGCUGGUCUGAGAGGAUGGUCAGCCACACUGGGACUGAGACACGGCCCAGAGUCCUACGGGAUGCAGCAGUCAGGAAUAUUGCGCAAUGGAGGAAACUCUGACGCAGCGACGCCGCGUGGGUGAUGAAGGCCUUCGGGUCGUAAAGCCCUGUCGGAGGGGAAGAAAAGCUGUAUGGCUAAUAUCCAUGCGGCCCUUGACGGUACCCUCAAAGGAAGCACCGGCUAACUCCGUGCCAGCAGCCGCGGUAAGACGGAGGGUGCAAGCGUUGUUCGGAUUGACUGGGCGUAAAGGGCGUGUAGGCGGUUGGUCAAGUCUGGUGUGAAAGCCCGGAGCUCA